GACGAACGCUGGCGGCGUGCUUAACACAUGCAAGUCGAACGGAGAUUUUUAUUUCGGUAAAGAUCUUAGUGGCAAACGGGUGAGUAACGCGUAGGCAACCUGCCUUUCCGAUGGGGACAACAGUUCGAAAGGACUGCUAAUACCGAAUGAUGUAUAUCUUCCGCAUGGGGGACAUACCAAAGACGGCCUCUAUAUAUAAGCUGUCACGGAAAGAUGGGCCUGCGUCUGAUUAGCCAGUUGGCGGGGUAAUGGCCCACCAAAGCGACGAUCAGUAGCCGGUCUGAGAGGAUGAACGGCCACAUUGGGACUGAGACACGGCCCAAAUUCCUACGGGAGGCAGCAGUGGGGAAUCUUCCGUAAUGGACGAAAGUCUGACGGAGCAACGCCGCGUGAGUGAAGAAGGUUUUCGAAUCGUAAAGCUCUGUUGUCAGGGACGAGCAGGGGGAGUAUCAACAACACUUCCUCAUGACGGUACCUGACGAGGAAGCCACGGCUAACUACGUGCCAGCCGCCGCAGUAA
This 520-nucleotide ribosomal RNA is filed under the name uncultured bacterium. RNAcentral's name for it is "partial 16S ribosomal RNA". It matches the Rfam family "Bacterial small subunit ribosomal RNA", at positions 28 to 523 of the family's 1533-position model. The record is from RNAcentral.